GUUUCCCCGCCCUGCCCCACGCCACUCAAAUGCAGGAUGGCCACUGGGGAGCUGGGACUACAGCUCCCGGCGUGCACUGCGCCAGCAGGAUAGUACCUGGCUACAUUUUAUUCUGAAAAACUUCUUCCUGCCUGCUGCAGCUGACCUUCAGGAUGCUCCUUGGUCUCCCAAGCAAGGUGCCAUAGCUCAGUCA
RNAcentral lists this long non-coding RNA (193 nucleotides) under Zonotrichia albicollis (white-throated sparrow). RNAcentral's name for it is "lncRNA (ENSZALG00000017005.1)". The record is from RNAcentral. Lineage: Eukaryota; Metazoa; Chordata; Aves; Passeriformes; Passerellidae.